RNAcentral lists this ribosomal RNA (305 nucleotides) under uncultured bacterium. RNAcentral describes it as "bacterial SSU rRNA". It matches the Rfam family "Bacterial small subunit ribosomal RNA", at positions 334 to 654 of the family's 1533-position model. The record is from RNAcentral.
UAUCCCUACGGGGCGCAGCAGUGGGGAAUAUUGGGCAAUGGGCGCAAGCCUGACCCAGCAACGCCGCGUGAAGGAAGAAGGCUUUCGGGUUGUAAACUUCUUUUCUUGGGGACGAAGAAAGUGACGGUACCCAAGGAAUAAGCCACGGCUAACUACGUGCCAGCAGCCGCGGUAAUACGUAGGUGGCAAGCGUUAUCCGGAUUUAUUGGGUGUAAAGGGCGUGUAGGCGGGAUUGCAAGUCAGCGGUAAAAUCGCGGGGCUCAACCUCGCUCCGCCGUUGAAACUGGCGUUCUUGAGUGGGCGAG